UCUCCCUGAUUCCCCUGCUCUGGUUUUCUCUGGUAGCCUACGUUGUCAAACAUUUGCAUCCCAAUGUGUUCCAACCACAACAUCUUGUUUUUUCGCUACCACAAACUCGGUCGUCUUUGAAAACCGCCGCAGCAUCUGGGACAGUUCACAUUACGAGACACGUCAGAACCACUGAAGGUAGACAACCUGUCAUGACGGGAAGAAACCUGGAAUCCACAUGUCUGCUAGGAAAAUCACAGCCAAAGCACAACAUCCACAGCAUCUCUGUUUGUAUCACUUUGCAUCAGUGGGCAAUUAAUGCUGUCAUUCAUCAGAACUGUGUCAGAGAUUCCUCAUUAAAUCGAGCUAUGAUUGCUUCUAUUAUCAUUUUGGCACCAAACUCCACAGCCUAUAUACUGUUGAUUUGAACUGUAGGCAGAAGCCAGAGGUUGAGGUCAUCAACAGAAAGCCACCCAGGAGCUGGGAGAGAAAUUCACUGUCUUGCCUAAGGAUACUUCAAGGUCCUGUACAGUUGAAGGAGAGCUUCCCUGCACACUAUGAGACUACAAUGCCCCUCACUUGAGAUGUGCACGAACAAAGACACUAUAAAAAA
Long non-coding RNA from Seriola aureovittata, 592 nucleotides. RefSeq lists it as uncharacterized. The transcript is spliced from 4 exons. The record is from RefSeq and is a predicted model, not a curated record. NCBI's taxonomy places the organism in Eukaryota, Metazoa, Chordata, Actinopteri, Carangiformes, Carangidae.